Molecule: ribosomal RNA, 392 nt
Filed under: uncultured bacterium
Lineage: Bacteria
Description: bacterial SSU rRNA
Rfam family: Bacterial small subunit ribosomal RNA
Source: RNAcentral
AGCGAACGUUUGCGGCGGGCUUAACACAUGCAAGUCGAACGGGCUGUUCCUUCGGGGGCAGUCAGUGGCGCACGGGUGCGUAACACGUAGGUAAUCAACCCUCUGGUUGGGGAUAACACUUCGAAAGGAGUGCUAAUACCCGGUAUGGCGCAGCGGUCUUCGGAUCGCGGCGAGAAAGACCCGCAAGGGUUGCCAGAGGACGAGCCUGCGGCCCAUCAGCUAGUUGGCGAGGUAACGGCUCACCAAGGCGAAGACGGGUAGCUGGUCUGAGAGGAUGAUCAGCCGCACUGGAACUGAGACACGGUCCAGACUCCUACGGGAGGCAGCAGUGGGGAAUAUUGCGCAAUGGGCGAAAGCCUGACGCAGCCACGCCGCGUGAGCGAUGAAGGCCU